This 475-nucleotide long non-coding RNA is filed under the name Sarcophilus harrisii (Tasmanian devil). RNAcentral describes it as "lncRNA (ENSSHAG00000027050.1)". The record is from RNAcentral. Lineage: Eukaryota; Metazoa; Chordata; Mammalia; Dasyuromorphia; Dasyuridae.
AUCCCUUCUUGCAACUGCUGAGCAAAAAUAAAUACGGCAUCAGAUAUGACAUAAAAUUUGAUAUAAUAUUAAAAUAAAUAGGUAAAUUUUUGUUUUAAAGUCAAAAUGUCUAGGACGUCCAUCCCGGCGAGCUCCUGAUGCUUCGCCCCACAACUCCCUCCUAGGUCUCCCCAGGUUCUAACUGCUGUGUCAUAAUCGACUUCUCAAGCUAGGAAACGUCUACUCAAAGAUUCUUCUUAGGUUUACCUAGCCUUGCCUGCAGCGCUGUUCCCAACCUCAAUGUCCUGAUGGCGAGAGUCCUUUCUAUCUUCUUCAGUGAAAUUAAGAAUGACAAAUUAAACGUAAGACGCCCACAACUUUAAAUAGAAUGGGAGGAGCAAAUCCAACUUUCAUCCCUACAUCUUUUCCUACAAGACUAUUGUCCUCUAAAUGUUAUUUUGGAAGAGAAGGAAUUUUAAGAAAUGCUCUUCAGUGA